RNAcentral lists this unclassified non-coding RNA (227 nucleotides) under uncultured fungus. RNAcentral's name for it is "sequence contains ITS1". The record is from RNAcentral. Lineage: Eukaryota; Fungi.
GUAUUUGUGCGAGUUAACGCAAGGUACAUUCUGAUACUUCAUUGGGGUAUGUUAAGGGUUGCAUGCGAGCCUCCGAUCUCUCAUCGGCUCGCACACUUGGUUCACAAAGGGGUGGAAUAGAGAAGGGACACGCAUCCAGACGAGCACAUCCCGUUGCCGGGCAGCAUCAGACCGAACACGCAUUCCGAGCUUCGCUAAUGAUCCUUCCGCAGGUUCACCUACGGAAA